AUUUGGUAAUUGUAAUCUCGUAUUAAUAAACAGGAUCUUGGUUCUCAUUCUAUGAAACGAAUGUAAUCAGAACAACAUUCAUUAAUGAGAAUAACAGAAUUUCUUGAUUCUCUCUCUAACAAACUUUCUUCUAACAUGGUAUCAGAGCCAAGUUAGAAGAAAUUUGUUACAGAGAGAAUCAAGCUUUGCUAGUUACUCCAAGUUUAAACAGAUGCAGAUUGGGCAUCUCGUCUUGAUUAUAGACGAUCUACAUCUGGAUUUUGUAUGUUCUUGGGGACCUCUUUUAUCUCCUAGAAAUACAAAAAGCAACAAACUGCAUCACAUUCAUCUGCAGAAUCAUAAUACAGAGUAAUGGAGUUUGUUGUUCGAGAAGUAGCUUGGCUUGUAAACUUGUUAAAGGAGUUUCAUGCGCCUCAAACGAAAUAUGUGGCUUUCUUUUGCGACUCAACGGCUGCGAUUCACAUCACCAAUAAUGAUAUUUUCUAUGAACGCACAAAGCACGUUGAGCUAGACCGCCACAUUGUUCGUGACAAAGUAAUAAGCGGUUUGAUCAAGACCUUACAUGUCAAGAUUGAUCAACAGCUUAUUCAUGUCUUCACAAAACUUUUAUUCCCUACUCAGUUUAUUAGUAAGAUGUCACUUAAAUCGAUUUACUUGUCAUCUUGAAGGAGGAUAUUAGAGUUUGGUUUAUGAUAAACCAUAAAUAAUUUGGUAAUUGUAAUCUAGUAUUGAUAAACCAGAGUAAACCGCAUCAUAGAAUUCUCAUUGUAUAAAAUGAAUGUAAACAACAUUCAUUAAUGAGAAUAACAUAUUUCUUGAUUCUCUCUCUAACAAACUUUUUUCUAACAUGAUCUUUAAACGAUAUAAAUAUUUAAAAUAUUAUCUUUUUUACUCUCAUUAAAUGUUUAGUUUGUCUUAAACUUUAUCCCUCAUUU
RNAcentral lists this small RNA (935 nucleotides) under Arabidopsis thaliana (thale cress). Its description in RNAcentral is "ATSL079550". The record is from RNAcentral. Lineage: Eukaryota; Viridiplantae; Streptophyta; Magnoliopsida; Brassicales; Brassicaceae.